Molecule: unclassified non-coding RNA, 280 nt
Filed under: uncultured fungus
Lineage: Eukaryota; Fungi
Description: partial contains 18S rRNA, ITS1, 5.8S rRNA, ITS2 and 28S rRNA
Source: RNAcentral
AAGGAUCAUUAAUGAAUGAACUUGAUCGGUUGUUGCUGGCUUCCAGGAGCAUGUGCACGCCUAUCAUCUUUAUCCAUCCACCUGUGCACCUUUUGUAGUCUUGGAGGUAAUGAGCGUGAUGCAGCCAGGGAUCGACCACUUGGCUGACCCUUGAUGCUGGCGCGAGUUUCUCUGGGUCUAUGUCUUUCAUAUACCAUGUAAAAUGUAUUAGAAAGUUUUUAAUGGGUCUCAGUGCCUAUAAAACACAAUACAACUUUCAGCAACGGAUCUCUUGGCUCUC